GCCGGGCAUGGUGGCUCAUGCCUGUAAUCCCAGCACUUUGGGAGGCUGAGGUGGGGGGAUCACCUGAGGUCAGGAGUUCAAGACCAGCCUGACCAACAUGGAGAAACCCUGUCUCUA
RNAcentral lists this non-coding RNA (117 nucleotides) under Gorilla gorilla gorilla (western lowland gorilla). The record is from Rfam by way of RNAcentral. Lineage: Eukaryota; Metazoa; Chordata; Mammalia; Primates; Hominidae.